CAGAGAUAUCCCAGGGAUGGAGCUGCCUUAGAGGAGGGGUUAGUUAUUAAUUCCCUUCCUACGGCCAUCACAGAAAAAAAAAAUCAGGAAGGGAACUAAGUGAAUAGUGUAAAGUGUUGUUUUGAGUUCAGACAAAUAGCUUCUUUGCUCCUGCUAUUGAACACUUAGGGUACGUCUAUACUACCCGGCAGAUCAGCGGGUAGUAAUCGAUCUAUCGGGGAUUGAUUUAUCGCAUCUCGUCUAGAUGCGACAAAUCGAUCCGUGAAUCGACACCUGUACUCCACCUCGGCAGGAGUAGUAAGCAGCGUCGACAGGGGAGCCGCGGCAGUCGACUCGCUACCGUGAGGACGGCCAGCAGUAACACUGAAGAAUCAUGUCUUCCACACCAUGCAUGAGGUUAUGAAGUCAUUCACAAAAGUCGAGCACCCAAAACAAUAUUGCUGCAGAAAUGGUGGAAUCAUGAAUCAGCUUCUUUUUUCUACUCCAGAACCUCCUGGCUGCUGUAAAGAAACCACAGGAAGAAAGUUCAGUAAACUGCUUAGCAUCUCAAACAGUAAACAAGGAUUUCGUCAGAGCACAUCAGACAACCUGACCAAUAUCCCCAGCAAGUCUCUAUAGAAAACUCAUGUUUCUGGCUUCUGCAUAAUUCCUUCAUGUAAUAACCUCAACUUGUUUGCUUAUGCUCUUAUUGGCAUAACCAAUAAGCUGUUUUUUUAAAAAUUGAAUUUAUUUGUGAAAGGUCCUGGAUCAACAGCCCUGAAGACUAGAGGUUUCUGUUUUCCCAUAGCUGGGCAGCAAUAGUGCCAGUUUCUCCACAGUAUUCCAACCACGACUUGGGGGGGACCACACAUCUCCAUACCCAUUCAGUCUUUGCUGUCUCUGAAGAGAUGGCAAACAAGUAUGACAGUUUGGGGUUUGUGUAAUACAUAUACCUGCCAACUAGGAAUUAAACAAAGGCGAAUUUAUUUCACAUAGGCAGGGUCCUGUGUAUUAAACACCUGUGGAAUUUGCCACUGAAAUCAUUCCUUGCUCCAAAUAGUGCUCCAGAGUCUCAAUUUUCAUUUUUUUUUAAUGUUUCUGCCCCAGUGGUUGUGCAGACAACACUGAAAAGAGGAACAGAACAAACUGAUGCAGUGAUGUUUUCAGAGU
Long non-coding RNA from Mauremys reevesii (Reeves's turtle), 1149 nucleotides. RefSeq lists it as uncharacterized. The record is from RefSeq and is a predicted model, not a curated record. The transcript has 3 exons. Lineage: Eukaryota; Metazoa; Chordata; Testudines; Geoemydidae.